GCCUGGCUGGCACAGUCAGAAGAGCUUGGGACUUUCAGUCUCAGGGUUGUGAGUUUGAAUCCCACACUAGGUG
This 73-nucleotide transfer RNA is filed under the name Felis catus (domestic cat). It matches the Rfam family "tRNA". From Rfam's summary of the family: Transfer RNA (tRNA) molecules are approximately 80 nucleotides in length. Their secondary structure includes four short double-helical elements and three loops (D, anti-codon, and T loops). The record is from Rfam by way of RNAcentral. RNAcentral also lists the same sequence under 2 other names. Lineage: Eukaryota; Metazoa; Chordata; Mammalia; Carnivora; Felidae.